GAUGAAGAACGUAGCGAAAUGCGAUAAGUAGUGUGAAUUGCAGAAUUCAGUGAAUCAUCGAAUCUUUGAACGCACAUUGCGGCCAUAGGUAUGCCUUUGGCCAUGCCUGUUCGAGCGUCAUUUACACCCUCAAGCCUAGCUUGGUGUUGGGCGUCUGUCCCGCCGUUUUCGCGCGCGGACUCGCCUCAAAGUCAUUGGCGGCGGUCGUGCCGGCCCCCUCGCGCAGCACAUUUGCGCUUCUCGGAGGCCCGGCGGAUCCGCGCUCCAGCAAGACCUUUCACGACUUGACCUCGGAUCAGGUAGGGAUACCCGCUGAACUUAAGCAUAUCAAUAAGCGGAGGA
Molecule: unclassified non-coding RNA, 342 nt
Filed under: soil metagenome
Description: partial contains 5.8S ribosomal RNA, internal transcribed spacer 2, and large subunit ribosomal RNA
Rfam family: 5.8S ribosomal RNA (bases 1-120)
Source: RNAcentral